Molecule: ribosomal RNA, 113 nt
Filed under: Acanthosepion pharaonis
Lineage: Eukaryota; Metazoa; Mollusca; Cephalopoda; Sepiida; Sepiidae
Source: RNAcentral
UGACGGUCAUGUCAUGUUGAAACAUCGGUUCCCGUAAGAUCACCGAAGUUAAGCAACAUCGAGCCUGGUCAGUACCUAAAUGGGUGACCGUUUGCGAAUACCACGUACUGUAA